UAUGUGAUCGUCUCUCGCAUAUCAAUAAGCGGAGGAAAAGAAACUAACAAGGAUUCCCCUAGUAACGGCGAGUGAAGCGGGAAGAGCUCAAAUUUGAAAUCUUAAAGGGUUUCCCUUUACGAAUUGUAGUUUAAAGAAGUGUUUUCUGUUGAGGUUUUGGUAAAAGUUCUUUGGAAUAGGACAUCAUAGAGGGUGAGAAUCCCGUAUUUGACCUUUACUUUCAACUUUGUGAUACACUUUCAAAGAGUCGGAUUGUUUGGGAAUGCAGUCCAAAAUGGGUGGUAAAUUUCAUCUAAAGCUAAAUAUUGGCGAGAGACCGGUAGCGAACAAGUACCGUGAGGGAAAGAUGAAAAGAACUUUGAGAAGAGAGCUAAACAGUACGUGAAAUUGUCAAAAGGGAAGCGUUUGACACCAGUGUUGUUUUUCUGAAAAUCAAUUAAAGAACUGUUUAUGCUAAGUUGUUUAGACUUUAUCAGCUAACUGUUUAGUUUUGAGCUUUUCUUUAAUGCACUUUUCAGUUAACAAGUCAACAUCAAUUUCUUUUGCUGUAAAAAAGCUUGAGGAAGGUGGCUUGAGAUUCGUCUUAAGUGUUUAUAGCCUCUUGCCUAUGCAGUCGGAGAGAUUGAGGUCUGCAGCGUAGAUCCUUCGGGGCUAAAUGCAUUUGUGCUAAGUUAUAGCAUUUUAUAGACAACUUGUUGACUAUGAUUUGUCUUGUAGCUUACUCGCUUAUGUUAUUUUACCUACGCUUAGGAUGUUGAAGACUCUACAGAGAUA
Molecule: ribosomal RNA, 774 nt
Filed under: uncultured Neocallimastigales
Lineage: Eukaryota; Fungi; Neocallimastigomycota; Neocallimastigomycetes; Neocallimastigales
Description: partial large subunit ribosomal RNA
Rfam family: Eukaryotic large subunit ribosomal RNA
Source: RNAcentral